Long non-coding RNA from Jaculus jaculus (lesser Egyptian jerboa), 725 nucleotides. RefSeq lists it as uncharacterized. NCBI's taxonomy places the organism in Eukaryota, Metazoa, Chordata, Mammalia, Rodentia, Dipodidae. The transcript is spliced from 3 exons. The record is from RefSeq and is a predicted model, not a curated record.
GCUGCCAAACCCCGAGUUACAGUUCAGCCCAGAGUGGCAAGGCUGGCUCCUCAGUGAUGCUUCCCUCACCAGCCCAAGGGAAGUUUGGGGCUGAGAGAAAUGCAGAGCAGCCCUCCUCCAGAUGGGACACCCAGCUGUCACCUGGAAGCUGUACUUCCUUUCUUUGCAGAACAAAAAAGCAAAGUCCGUUGCUCACCCUGCUCAGCUGCAGAUGGCCACACUCAACAAAAGGCAGCAAGACCCAAGGAGAUCAACCUCCAUUGCAUAUCAGCCAGCCCCCAGGUUAAGCUACAGAGAAACAAGCGACAGGAGCAAGAGUGCUGCUUCAGUGGGAACCUGGUAACCUGCACCAGGCAGAUGGAGACAGAGGCUGGGGAUGCUCAACGUAUACCAAUGCAGAAGUCCAGAAGAAGCUAAUGGUUCAACACUAAGUUGCUGUUGCUCAAAUCAGUCCUCGUGCCACAGAAGAGUCUUCGGAGACACGACUGCUUCAGCCCCUCCGCCUACAGCAUCUUCGUACGUGUGUGCCCGGUGACCGCUUUCUCUCUGCGCCUCCACAAGCAUCAAGCUAUGAGGACAGCAUGAACUUUCCGAGGAGGCUCCCUUCCAUCCUCUGGAAUUUCCCCUCCAAUGUUCAGGAAUUGCUUUAGCACUCUAACUUUUCCCUUUCCUCACAGAACUAAAAUCCAUAUGGUUUGUUCUCUAAGGCCUCAUGCAUGGCAAUU